RNAcentral lists this ribosomal RNA (613 nucleotides) under Zyras perdecoratus. RNAcentral describes it as "partial 16S ribosomal RNA". The stretch from base 363 to 522 matches the Rfam family "Bacterial large subunit ribosomal RNA", at positions 2473 to 2632 of the family's 2925-position model. Lineage: Eukaryota; Metazoa; Arthropoda; Insecta; Coleoptera; Staphylinidae. The record is from RNAcentral.
CCCAAUGAAUUUAUAUUUAAUGGCCGCAGUAUUUUGACUGUGCAAAGGUAGCAUAAUCAUUAGUUUCUUAAUUAGAGGCUGGAAUGAAUGGUUGGACGAGAAAAUAACUGUCUUUUUAUAAUUUUAUUUGAAUUUUAUUUUUAAGUUAAAAAGCUUAAAUAAUUUUAAAAGACGAGAAGACCCUAUAGAGUUUUAUUAAUUUAGGUUUAAUAGUUUUUUUUGUAUAGUUUUAAAUUAUUAUAGUUUUAUUAAUUUAAUUGGGGUGAUUAAAAAAUUUUAUAAACUUUUUUUAUAUGUUUACAUUUAUUUAUGAAUAUUUGAUCCAUAAUUUUUAUUAUGAUAUAAGAUUAAAUUACCUUAGGGAUAACAGCAUAAUUUUUUUGUAGAGUUCAAAUCGAUAAAGAAGUUUGUGACCUCGAUGUUGGAUUAAAAUUUAUUUUUGGUUGUAGAAGCUAAAAAAUUAGGUCUGUUCGACCUUUAAAAUUUUACAUGAUCUGAGUUUAAACCGGUGUAAGCCAGGUUGGUUUCUAUCUUUAUAUAAUUUAUAUAUAUUUUAGUACGAAAGGACCAAAUAUAGUAAAAAUUUUAUUAAUUAUUGAAUUUUAUUAAUAAU